RNAcentral lists this small nuclear RNA (300 nucleotides) under Castor canadensis (American beaver). RNAcentral describes it as "7SK RNA (ENSCCNG00000014364.1)". It matches the Rfam family "7SK RNA". From Rfam's summary of the family: 7SK was discovered as an abundant small nuclear RNA in the mid-70s but a possible function has only recently been suggested. Two independent studies have found that 7SK RNA binds the CDK9/cyclin T complex (known as elongation factor P-TEFb). Lineage: Eukaryota; Metazoa; Chordata; Mammalia; Rodentia; Castoridae. The record is from RNAcentral.
GGAUGUGAGGGCAAUCUGGCUGUGACAUCUGUCACCCCAUUGAUCACCAGAGUUGAUUCAGCUGAUCUGGCUGGCUAGGCGGGUGUCACCCUCCUCCCUCAUCACUCUAUGUUCGUCCCUCGUGAAGCUGCACAAUCAGUCAAAGAGGAUGACAAUCCCCGACUGAGGAGGACCAUUCUUCAGUCAAAAGUAUAUGAGUAGCUGUGCUCCCCUGCUAGAACGUUCAUGCAAGCUCUCAGGAAAACUGAACUGUAUGUCCACACAGAGAUUUACAUAAGUGUUCAUAGCAGCAUCAUUCAC